Molecule: transfer RNA, 76 nt
Filed under: Caudoviricetes sp.
Lineage: Duplodnaviria; Heunggongvirae; Uroviricota; Caudoviricetes
Description: tRNA-Thr
Rfam family: tRNA
About the family: Transfer RNA (tRNA) molecules are approximately 80 nucleotides in length. Their secondary structure includes four short double-helical elements and three loops (D, anti-codon, and T loops). Further hydrogen bonds mediate the characteristic L-shaped molecular structure. tRNAs have two regions of fundamental functional importance: the anti-codon, which is responsible for specific mRNA codon recognition, and the 3' end, to which the tRNAs corresponding amino acid is attached (by aminoacyl-tRNA synthetases). tRNAs cope with the degeneracy of the genetic code in two manners: having more than one tRNA (with a specific anti-codon) for a particular amino acid; and 'wobble' base-pairing, i.e. permitting non-standard base-pairing at the 3rd anti-codon position.
Source: RNAcentral
GCUUCUAUAGCUCAGUAGGUAGAGCAACAUCAUGGUAAGGUGUAGGUCAUCAGUUCGAUUCUGAUUAGAAGCUCCA